Molecule: long non-coding RNA, 160 nt
Organism: Musca vetustissima
Lineage: Eukaryota; Metazoa; Arthropoda; Insecta; Diptera; Muscidae
Exons: 2
Source: RefSeq, a predicted model, not a curated record
UUACAGUUUUACAAAAGUUUACAGCUGUUGUAGACGCCAAGCGCGAUUUUUUAUGCAAAAACAACAUAAAACGAACAGCAAUAUGUGUGCAUAUUUUUUUAAACUUUUUUAAAUAAAAGAUUAAAAUUAUAAAACAAAAAAAUAUAUACAAAUAAAUAAA